AGUGUACGCUGGCGGUAGGCCUAACACAUGCAAGUCGAACGGCAGCACAGUAAGAGCUUGCUCUUACGGGUGGCGAGUGGCGGACGGGUGAGGAAUACAUCGGAAUCUACUUUUUCGUGGGGGAUAACGUAGGGAAACUUACGCUAAUACCGCAUACGACCUACGGGUGAAAGCAGGGGAUCUUCGGACCUUGCGCGAUUGAAUGAGCCGAUGUCGGAUUAGCUAGUUGGCGGGGUAAAGGCCCACCAAGGCGACGAUCCGUAGCUGGUCUGAGGGGAUGAUCAGCCACACUGGAACUGAGACACGGUCCAGACUCCUACGGGAGGCAGCAGUGGGGAAUAUUGGACAAUGGGCGCAAGCCUGAUCCAGCCAUACCGCGUGGGUGAAGAAGGCCUUCGGGUUGUAAAGCCCUUUUGUUGGGAAAGAAAAGCAGCAGGUUAAUACCCCGCUGUUCUGACGGUACCCAAAGAAUAAGCACCGGCUAACUUCGUG
This 492-nucleotide ribosomal RNA is filed under the name uncultured bacterium. RNAcentral describes it as "partial 16S ribosomal RNA". It matches the Rfam family "Bacterial small subunit ribosomal RNA", at positions 29 to 507 of the family's 1533-position model. The record is from RNAcentral.